AGCGAACGCUGGCGGCAGGCCUAACACAUGCCAGUCGAACGAACCUUUCGGGGUUAGUGGCGGACGGGUGAGUAACACGUGGGAACGUGCCUUUAGGUUCGGAAUAACUCAGGGAAACUUGUGCUAAUACCGAAUGUGCCCUUCGGGGGAAUGAUUAAUCGCCUUUAGAGCGGCCCGCGUCUGAUUAGCUAGUUGGUUGAGGUAAUGGCUCACCACGGCGACGAUCAGUAGCUGGUCUGAGAGGAUGAUCAGCCACAUUGGGACUGAGACACGGCCCAAACUCCUACGAGAGGAAGCAGUGGGGAAUCUUGCGCAAGGGGCGAAAGGCUGACGCAGCCAUGCCGCGUGAAUGAUGAAGGUCUUAGGAUUGUAAAAUUCUUUCACCGGGGACGAUAAUGACGGUACCCGGAGAAGAAGCCCCGGCUAACUUCGUG
RNAcentral lists this ribosomal RNA (434 nucleotides) under uncultured bacterium. Its description in RNAcentral is "partial 16S ribosomal RNA". It matches the Rfam family "Bacterial small subunit ribosomal RNA", at positions 29 to 507 of the family's 1533-position model. The record is from RNAcentral.